GACAGAGGGGUGCAAACGUUGCUCGGAAUUACUGGGCGUAAAGCGCGUGUAGGCGGUUUCGCAAGUCAGGUGUGAAAGCCUGGGGACCUCAACCCCAGAAGUGGCCACUUGAUACUACGGAGCUGGAGUCUGAAGAGGAGAGGCGGAAUUCCCGGUGUAGAGGUGAAAUUCGUAGAUAAUCGGGAGGAACACCGAGUGGCGAAGGCGGCUCU
This 212-nucleotide ribosomal RNA is filed under the name uncultured bacterium. RNAcentral's name for it is "partial 16S ribosomal RNA". It matches the Rfam family "Bacterial small subunit ribosomal RNA", at positions 524 to 729 of the family's 1533-position model. The record is from RNAcentral.